CCUGACGCAGCAACGCCGCGUGAGUGAAGAAGGCCUUCGGGUCGUAAAGCUCUGUCAAGUGGGAAGAACCCUUUUCAUGUUAACAGCAUGUAAAGCUGACGGUACCACUGGAGGAAGCACCGGCUAACUCCGUGCCAGCAGCCGCGGUAAUACGGAGGGUGCAAGCGUUAUUCGGAAUUACUGGGCGUAAAGGGCGCGCAGGCGGCCCGUCAAGUCAGUUGUGAAAGCCCGGGGCUCAACCCCGGAAGUGCGACUGAAACUGGCGGGCUUGAGUAUGGGAGAGGGAAGUGGAAUUCCUGGUGUAGCGGUGAAAUGCGUAGAUAUCAGGAGGAACACCGGUGGCGAAGGCGACUUCCUGGCCCAAUACUGACGCUGAGGCGCGAAGGCGUGGGUAGCAAACAGGAUUAGAUACCCUGGUAGUCCACGCAGUAAACGGUGAUCACUAGGUGUUGCGGGUUUUGAUACCUGCAGUGCCGGAGCAAACGCAUUAAGUGAUCCGCCUGGGGAGUACGGCCGCAAGGUUAAAACUCAAAGGAAUUGACGG
Molecule: ribosomal RNA, 544 nt
Filed under: uncultured delta proteobacterium
Lineage: Bacteria; Deltaproteobacteria
Description: bacterial SSU rRNA
Rfam family: Bacterial small subunit ribosomal RNA
Source: RNAcentral